RNAcentral lists this ribosomal RNA (253 nucleotides) under uncultured bacterium. RNAcentral describes it as "partial 16S ribosomal RNA". It matches the Rfam family "Bacterial small subunit ribosomal RNA", at positions 524 to 776 of the family's 1533-position model. The record is from RNAcentral.
UACGUAGGGCGCAAGCGUUAUCCGGAAUUAUUGGGCGUAAAGAGCUCGUAGGCGGUUUGUCGCGUCUGCCGUGAAAGUCCGGGGCUCAACUGGGGAGGGUCACGCGAUACUGUUCGACUUGAAGGCAGGAGAGGGAAGUGGAAUUCCCGGUGUAGUGGUGAAAUGCGUAGAUAUCGGGAGGAACACCAGUGGCGAAGGCGACUUCCUGGCCUGUUCUUGACGCUGAGGCGCGAAAGCUAGGGUAGCAAACGGG